This is a non-coding RNA of Physcomitrium patens, 1697 nucleotides long. NCBI's taxonomy places the organism in Eukaryota, Viridiplantae, Streptophyta, Bryopsida, Funariales, Funariaceae. The record is from RefSeq and is a predicted model, not a curated record.
CCCAUUCAGAGAGAUUGCCUCCCCUUCUCCGCCCCCGCGAAACCCUCGCCUCAGUGUUGGUGUGUCUGUCUCCCUGCUUCGAAUCCUCUCGAAUCUGCGCUUCGCUUGCACGCCGUGACAUCGCUCUGCCGCAUUCUAGCAACGUGAGAGCGGGGAGCUGCUGAUGGUGAGAAUCGGUUUGCACAACAUACAAUGCGCCGAAGUGAAUACCUCAGGAUGACAUAGUGAGAUUCGGUCUUCUCUUUUUUUGGUUCCGACAUAGUUACCGACAACGUGAAUACCGCAAGAUGUUGCAGCUUCUCGUCUUGCAAAUCCACUGUUUCCUGCAGAUUCCUGGUACUCGCUGCAAGGAGCAACAUUGAUCACUAAAGAUCUCUUUGCAUUUCCUGGACAUCAACUAUUGCUAAGUUUUUUGUUGUAUAAUAUGAUGAUACAAAGCUAGAGCCUGCCCCACAACUCUGUGUGCAAGCAAGCUAGCAAUUCCAUCUGUAAAGCUCCAACGAUUUUAAUUUACUUGAGGACUUGUGAUAAUCAAACAUUUCAAGAAUCUAUAAUAUUUUCAAUAAACAAAGGAGUAUACUCAAGAAUCAAAUACUAGUUAUUUUGUAAGGUAUGAGCAUCAAUCACUAUGAUUUUUAUGAUUUUGUAUAAGUCAUUAGACAUUUGAAAUGAACAUUUAUGUAUUAUUUUAUUUGUAUGUACAAAUAUUUGUUAUGUUAAAAAUGAUGGUAAAAAACUACUAAAAGAAUUAUAAAUGUAAGUAGAAAUUGUUUUUAUUCAUGUGAAAUAUAUUAGUAGCAGCUUCGUUAUUUUGAUGAAGCUUUUGGAUGAAUAAAAACUAUUAAAGUGUAUUAAAUUUUGUAAUAAGAUUGUAAUUAUGUGGUUGAAGGCAAAUUACACAUAUCAUUUAAAUAUUUAUUAUGGCUUAUCUUUUGAAAUUCCUAGUAAAGUGUGUUUUAAUAAUUUGGUGAUUUUUAUUUGCUUGUUAUACAUUGGGAUCUCUAAUUAUUAAAGAAUUUUAUUUCAAGGAAGAAAAGUUGAUAUUGGAGAUGUGCUCACUCAAUGCCAUAUUUACAACAAAGAAAUUGAGGUAUUAUUCAGGACCAAAUUCUUCUUGAAUAGAAAUCAAUGUCAUAAUAUCUACAAACCACUUGGCCAUGUUAUUAAAGUAUUUGAAAGCUUUAAAACUUGUAGCAAUGAAAGAAAUAAGUAUGAACUUUUAUUUUGUGAAUUUCAAGAUACAACAUUUAAUAUAUAUAAAUUGAUAAAAAAUUGUAGGCAACAAUGUUGGUGUAAAGCAAGUAUCUUUUAAAUGAAAAAUAAAGAAAUGUUUAGGAAACUAUUGUGUGACUUGAAGAUUUAUCAUGAUUUGGGAGUUGAUCUACUUUCAAAUGAGUGUCUAGAAAAGUUAGAAGACAUUAUAUUUAUAUUGUUUGAUUUUUCUACUUAUGAAGAAGUGAAAUAUGAUUGUAAAGAACUUUAUAAGAGAUUGGAUUAUGCAAGUAAAGAUAUGUAAUUUAAAGAUUAUGGAUUAGCAAAUUCUCUAUUAGAUAGAUUAAAGGACUUGCAAUGUGUAGAAGAAGAAGAAUUGAAGUUUUUGGUAGUAUCAAGUGAUAUCAAAAAUUUAGAACUUGGAAAAUCUAUAAAUGAUGGUUCUUUUGGAGAAGUUUAUGAAUCAAGGUGGUUUGGACUUUUAA